ACAAUUUUUAAAAGAACAACUUGAAAUUGUUUUCCAGAAUUAUUGGACCAGUUCACAGCUCCAUCAAUAGUGUAUUAGUGUGCCUUCUUUCCUUCACACCCUCCAACGUUUACUUGAAGUUCUGGGAAAGAACUCACCACUUGGAAGUGGGGGAGGAAUCAUCUUCCAGGACUAGAAGGCAGAAGAGGAUAGAAUGUAUUCCAAGAUGAGAAGACUGCUGGUAUGGAGACAUCUUCAUGGAUGAGCAGGCUGCUAGUAUGGAGGAAUCUUUCAGAGUAAGAAGGCUAUUGGAAUGGAGACAUCUUCCAGCAUGAGAGGGCUGCUAGCAUGGAGUCAUCUUCCAGGGUGAGAAGGCUGCUGGAGUUAAGGGAUAAUGUAACAAGUUGGGCAGACAGCACCGGGGAGUUUCCGGAAAGAAGACAGACAGUGAGCUCAAGUGAUGGAGAAUGAGGAGUAAAAAAGAAAGAGAGAAAGGACUUGGAUGUUGUA
Molecule: long non-coding RNA, 489 nt
Filed under: Monodelphis domestica (gray short-tailed opossum)
Lineage: Eukaryota; Metazoa; Chordata; Mammalia; Didelphimorphia; Didelphidae
Description: lncRNA (ENSMODG00000031245.2)
Source: RNAcentral